GGUCAAGCUAAAAAGAGCGCAGGGUGGAUGCCUUGGCACUAAGAGCCGAUGAAAGACGUGAUAAGCUGCGAUAAGCUACGGGGAGGAGCACAUAUCCAUUGAUCCGUAGAUUUCUGAAUGGGGAAACCCGGCUGAGCAUACCUCAGUCACCGUACACUGAAUCCAUAGGUGUACGGAGGGAACCCGGUGAACUGAAACAUCUAAGUAGCCGGAGGAAGAGAAAGAAAACUCGAUUUUCAAAGUAGCGGCGAGCGAAAUGGAAAGAGCCCAAACCGGAGUGCGUGCACUCCGGGGUUCGGACUGCAUUUAUGACUUCUGACUGUAGCGGAACGGUUCUGGAAAGACCGGCCAGAGAGGGUGAGAGCCCCGUAGGCGAAACGGAAAGAAGCAGAGCAGGAUCCAGAGUACCACGAGACACGAGAAACCUUGUGGGAAUGAGCGGGGACCACCCCGUAAGGCUAAAUACUCCUUAGUGACCGAUAGAGCAGAGUACUGUGAAGGAAAGGUGAAAAGGACCCCGGGAGGGGAGUGAAAGAGAACCUGAAACCCUGUGUUUACAAACUGUGGAAGUACCAUACGAGUACAACCGCGUACUUUUUGUAGAACGGUCCGGCGAGUUACGUUUACUGGCGAGGUUAAGCACUUAAGGUGCGGAGCCGAAGGGAUACCAAGUCUUAACAGGGCGUUAAGUCAGUGUACGUAGACCCGAAACCGGGUGAUCUACCCAUGUCCAGGCUGAAGUUGCCGUAAAAGGCAAUGGAGGGCCGAACGCACAUCCGUUGAAAAGGGUGGCGAUGAGGUGUGGGUAGGGGAGAAAUUCCAAUCGAACCCGGAGAUAGCUGGUUCUCCUCGAAAUAGCUUUAGGGCUAGCCUCGUGUUAACCUUGUGGAGGUAGAGCACUGAAUAUCCUAGGGGGCGUCAAAGUCUACCGAAGAUUAUCAAACUCCGAAUGCCAUAGAGGUGAUGCACGGGAGUCAGACUGCACGAGAUAAGUUGGGUGGUCAAAAGGGAAAGAGCCCAGACCUACAGCUAAGGUCCCAAAGUGCGUGUUAAGUGGAAAAGGAUGUGGGAUUUCGAAGACAACUAGGAUGUUGGCUCAGAAGCAGCCAUACAUUCAAAGAGUGCGUAAUAGCUCACUAGUCGAGAGGUCCUGCGCCGAAAAUGUCCGGGGCUGAAACACGACACCGAAGCUUAGGA
RNAcentral lists this ribosomal RNA (1197 nucleotides) under Waltera acetigignens. RNAcentral's name for it is "partial 23S ribosomal RNA". It matches the Rfam family "Bacterial large subunit ribosomal RNA", at positions 1 to 1206 of the family's 2925-position model. Lineage: Bacteria; Bacillati; Bacillota; Clostridia; Lachnospirales; Lachnospiraceae. The record is from RNAcentral.